This 934-nucleotide ribosomal RNA is filed under the name Bacillus licheniformis. Its description in RNAcentral is "bacterial SSU rRNA". It matches the Rfam family "Bacterial small subunit ribosomal RNA", at positions 35 to 952 of the family's 1533-position model. Lineage: Bacteria; Bacillati; Bacillota; Bacilli; Caryophanales; Bacillaceae. The record is from RNAcentral.
UUUAUCGGCGGGUCUAUAAUGCAGUCGAGCGGACCGACGGGAGCUUGCUCCCUUAGGUCAGCGGCGGACGGGUGAGUAACACGUGGGUAACCUGCCUGUAAGACUGGGAUAACUCCGGGAAACCGGGGCUAAUACCGGAUGCUUGAUUGAACCGCAUGGUUCAAUCAUAAAAGGUGGCUUUUAGCUACCACUUACAGAUGGACCCGCGGCGCAUUAGCUAGUUGGUGAGGUAACGGCUCACCAAGGCGACGAUGCGUAGCCGACCUGAGAGGGUGAUCGGCCACACUGGGACUGAGACACGGCCCAGACUCCUACGGGAGGCAGCAGUAGGGAAUCUUCCGCAAUGGACGAAAGUCUGACGGAGCAACGCCGCGUGAGUGAUGAAGGUUUUCGGAUCGUAAAACUCUGUUGUUAGGGAAGAACAAGUACCGUUCGAAUAGGGCGGUACCUUGACGGUACCUAACCAGAAAGCCACGGCUAACUACGUGCCAGCAGCCGCGGUAAUACGUAGGUGGCAAGCGUUGUCCGGAAUUAUUGGGCGUAAAGCGCGCGCAGGCGGUUUCUUAAGUCUGAUGUGAAAGCCCCCGGCUCAACCGGGGAGGGUCAUUGGAAACUGGGGAACUUGAGUGCAGAAGAGGAGAGUGGAAUUCCACGUGUAGCGGUGAAAUGCGUAGAGAUGUGGAGGAACACCAGUGGCGAAGGCGACUCUCUGGUCUGUAACUGACGCUGAGGCGCGAAAGCGUGGGGAGCGAACAGGAUUAGAUACCCUGGUAGUCCACGCCGUAAACGAUGAGUGCUAAGUGUUAGAGGGUUUCCGCCCUUUAGUGCUGCAGCAAACGCAUUAAGCACUCCGCCUGGGGAGUACGGUCGCAAGACUGAAACUCAAAGGAAUUGACGGGGGCCCGCACAAGCGGUGGAGCAUGUGGUUUAAUUC